Molecule: unclassified non-coding RNA, 300 nt
Filed under: uncultured Pleosporales
Lineage: Eukaryota; Fungi; Ascomycota; Dothideomycetes; Pleosporales
Description: sequence contains 5.8S rRNA gene, ITS2
Rfam family: 5.8S ribosomal RNA (bases 1-86)
Source: RNAcentral
GUGUAUAGGAGACAGGUGAAUCAUCGAAUCUUUGAACGCACAUUGCGCCCCUUGGUAUUCCAUGGGGCAUGCCUGUUCGAGCGUCAUCUACACCCUCAAGCACUGCUUGGUGUUGGGCGUCUGUCCCGCCUUCGCGCGUGGACUCGCCCCAAAGUCAUUGGCAGCGGUCUCUGGCACCUCAACGCGCAGUACAAUGCGUUCAUUGGGGUGCCGUGGGCGCGUCCACUAAGCUUUUACCGUCUUUGACCUCGGAUCAGGUAGGGAUACCCGCUGAACUUAAGCAUAUCAAUAAGCGGAGGA